RNAcentral lists this ribosomal RNA (590 nucleotides) under uncultured bacterium. RNAcentral describes it as "bacterial SSU rRNA". It matches the Rfam family "Bacterial small subunit ribosomal RNA", at positions 915 to 1509 of the family's 1533-position model. The record is from RNAcentral.
GGGGACCCGCACAAGCGGUGGAUGAUGUGGAUUAAUUCGAUGCAACGCGAAAAACCUUACCUACCCUUGACAUGGCUGGAAUCCUUGAGAGAUCAGGGAGUGCUCGAAAGAGAACCAGUACACAGGUGCUGCAUGGCUGUCGUCAGCUCGUGUCGUGAGAUGUUGGGUUACGUCCCGCAACGAGCGCAACCCUUGUCAUUAGUUGCUACGAAAGAGCACUCUAAUGAGACUGCCGGUGACAAACCGGAGGAAGGUGGGGAUGACGUCAAGUCCUCAUGGCCCUUAUGGGUAGGGCUUCACACGUCAUACAAUGGUACACACAGAGCGCCGCCAACCCGCGAGGGGGAGCUAAUCGCAGAAAGUGUAUCGUAGUCCGGAUUGUGGUCUGCAACUCGACUGCAUGAAGUUGGAAUCGCUAGUAAUCGCGGAUCAGCAUGUCGCGGUGAAUACGUUCCCGGGUCUUGUACACACCGCCCGUCACACCAUGGGAGCGGGUUUUACCAGAAGUAGGUGGCUUAACCGUAAGGAGGGCGCUUACCACGGUAGGAUUCGCGACUGGGGUGAAGUCGUAACAAGGUAACCGUAAGGGC